GUUUGGCUAUCCAACUCAUCUGGUCUUGCUCUUUUGCACAUUUAUCUGUGGUUUAUGGUCUGGGUGGCAUCUCAGCAUUCUACUCGUGCCAUCCCAGAUACCACUGGUCAAUCUCCUUUGUAAUUCAUACUCAUUUCGUGUAAGAAUUGUCAUCAUAAUAUACCACGUAAAGUAACGAGGCUCCUUACAAGCAUAGCG
Long non-coding RNA from Daphnia pulicaria, 198 nucleotides. RefSeq lists it as uncharacterized. The record is from RefSeq and is a predicted model, not a curated record. The transcript has 3 exons. NCBI's taxonomy places the organism in Eukaryota, Metazoa, Arthropoda, Branchiopoda, Diplostraca, Daphniidae.